Molecule: non-coding RNA, 84 nt
Organism: Echinostoma caproni
Lineage: Eukaryota; Metazoa; Platyhelminthes; Trematoda; Plagiorchiida; Echinostomatidae
Source: Rfam
GGCCUCGUAGAUCAGCUGGUAGAACGUGUGCUGUACAAAAGAGUAGGCGGCGUCCAUGCGUGGGUUCGAAUCCCACCGAGGCUA